RNAcentral lists this ribosomal RNA (274 nucleotides) under uncultured prokaryote. RNAcentral describes it as "partial 16S ribosomal RNA". It matches the Rfam family "Bacterial small subunit ribosomal RNA", at positions 524 to 798 of the family's 1533-position model. The record is from RNAcentral.
UACGUAGGGGGCGAGCGUUGUCCGGAUUUACUGGGCGUAAAGGGUGAGUAGGCGGUUAUAUAUGUCAGGUGUAAAAGGCUAUGGCUUAACCAUGGUUAGCACUUGAAACUGUAUGACUUGAGUGCAGGAGAGGUAAGCGGAAUUCCUAGUGUAGCGGUGAAAUGCGUAGAUAUUAGGAGGAACACCAGUGGCGAAGGCGGCUUACUGGACUGUAACUGACGCUGAGUCACGAAAGCGUGGGGAGCAAACAGGAUUAGAUACCCUGGUAGUCCCU